AUUCAAAAAUAUUCUGCAGGCAUGACUGCCGAACUCCAGUUGGCUCAAAAUUUACUAGCGGAUGACUGUGAGAAAGUAUUCCUCUUGAAGGAGACUCCGUGGCAAUUAAGAAAUAAUCCACUGACUACAACAAAUACGUAGAUGGAGAGCUGUAUUGCUGCUUUGUAUCCUGCAAGCAACAGCUCUAUCUGCACUCUGGAAAUGGGUGUUGGCUCUACCUGAGAUGCGCAUUAAUCCACUUGGCCAGAAACAGUUCAGGAGAGGAGGAUAUGAAUUACAGAAUGCUCAGCCCGACAAUAAGCACCCGCAGCAUCUUCACACAAAAGAGACUCAAAACCAAAAAAUCAACUUUAAAAGAGAUUGAGGCUGUGACAUGGUUUCUGAUGCAAAGUCAAAACUCUUAAAGAGAAAACAAACAAGCAAAAAACCAACACUAAGUCCAAGGCAGACAAUCCCAACAGUUAAUACUCUGAGGUAUUUUAUGCGUCAGCAGCCUGAGCAAUGGCAGGAGCUGAUUACUGGAACAAGAGAGUGACCAUCAGUAGCUACUUCUGAAGAAACCACCACAGAAACAGAGCUACUGCCAUUAUGAAACAAAGGUAUCUAUCACCAAGUUGAAAACAUCGUCCUGGAGUAGGAUAACCUUUUGGACAGAGGUAUUUGAAGCUUUCUGGUGAAAGUGAACAUCAUAAAAAUUCCCUGUUCUAGCAGGUUUUAUGUCAUGAGUCAUGGUUUUAUGAUUUUUGGUUAAUGGUAUUCCACAUCAUAACAUCAUGUAGUGCACUGGAAGUUAAAGUGUUAAUACUCCAGUUCUGGACUCCUGUCCAGAAGAGAAGAACUAUAUUCCCCAGGGAGCUUUGCGGUCAGAGAGGAGAUAUAACCUCUGGCAAAGUCACCUGAUGCCUCUUCUUUCCCUCAGCUCUCUCCCCACAUUGCCUCAGCACUACUGUAAGGCCUACAGCUUUCAGAUACUCUUUCU
Long non-coding RNA from Gallus gallus (chicken), 979 nucleotides. RefSeq lists it as uncharacterized. The transcript is spliced from 3 exons. The record is from RefSeq and is a predicted model, not a curated record. NCBI's taxonomy places the organism in Eukaryota, Metazoa, Chordata, Aves, Galliformes, Phasianidae.